CCGUUGGAUGAUGAAGAUCUUAUUGAAAAGAUUCUUGAUGGUCUUGAUGAUGACUACAAACCCAUUGUUGACAUCAUCAAUGGUCGUGACACUCUCAUCGCAUUCGAUAAACUCCAUG
Small nucleolar RNA from Tripterygium wilfordii, 118 nucleotides. RefSeq annotates it as small nucleolar RNA Z247. NCBI's taxonomy places the organism in Eukaryota, Viridiplantae, Streptophyta, Magnoliopsida, Celastrales, Celastraceae. The transcript has a single exon. The record is from RefSeq and is a predicted model, not a curated record.